UACGUAGGGGGCAAGCGUUGUCCGGAUUUAUUGGGCGUAAAGAGCGUGUAGGCGGUCCGGUCAGUCGGUUGUGAAAGUCCAGGGCUCAACCCUGGGAUGCGGGUGGAUACUGCCGGGCUCGAGUCCGGAAGAGGCGAGUGGAAUUCCUGGUGUAGCGGUGAAAUGCGCAGAUAUCAGGAGGAACACCGGUGGCGAAGGCGGGUCGCUGGGCCGUAACUGACGCUGAGGAGCGAAAGCGUGGGGAGCGAACAGG
RNAcentral lists this ribosomal RNA (253 nucleotides) under uncultured bacterium. RNAcentral's name for it is "partial 16S ribosomal RNA". It matches the Rfam family "Bacterial small subunit ribosomal RNA", at positions 524 to 776 of the family's 1533-position model. The record is from RNAcentral.